GAGAAUCACAGCCGCAGCCACAGGUAACAAACACUCAUCUCGGUGAAAUUGUCCGUUCACGAAAUCCUUUUUGCUUCUCUCUUCAUUUGCUUCCUUCUUUCAAUAUUUGUUUGAAUUUCUCUGUAAUAAAAUUCAUAUCUGUCAAUUUCUUAAAAAUAGAGGUUGCUUUAUGUCUAAUUCAUUCUAUGGUUCGUUUUCAAUUGUGG
This 206-nucleotide unclassified non-coding RNA is filed under the name Hevea brasiliensis (rubber tree). Lineage: Eukaryota; Viridiplantae; Streptophyta; Magnoliopsida; Malpighiales; Euphorbiaceae. The record is from RNAcentral.